Molecule: ribosomal RNA, 497 nt
Filed under: uncultured bacterium
Lineage: Bacteria
Description: partial 16S ribosomal RNA
Rfam family: Bacterial small subunit ribosomal RNA
Source: RNAcentral
GGCGAACGCUGGCGGCGUGCCUAAUACAUGCAAGUUGAGCGCUGAAGGUUGGUACUUGUACCGACUGGAUGAGCAGCGAACGGGUGAGUAACGCGUGGGGAAUCUGCCUUUGAGCGGGGGACAACAUUUGGAAACGAAUGCUAACACCGCAUAAAAACUUUAAACACAAGUUUUAAGUUUGAAAGAUGCAAUUGCAUCACUCAAAGAUGAUCCCGCGUUGUAUUAGCUAGUUGGUGAGGUAAAGGCUCACCAAGGCGAUGAUACAUAGCCGACCUGAGAGGGUGAUCGGCCACAUUGGGACUGAGACACGGCCCAAACUCCUACGGGAGGCAGCAGUAGGGAAUCUUCGGCAAUGGACGAAAGUCUGACCGAGCAACGCCGCGUGAGUGAAGAAGGUUUUCGGAUCGUAAAACUCUGUUGGUAGAGAAGAACGUUGGUGAGAGUGGAAAGCUCAUCAAGUGACGGUAACUACCCAGAAAGGGACGGCUAACUACGUG